UACGGAGGAUCCAAGCGUUAUCCGGAUUUAUUGGGUUUAAAGGGUGCGUAGGUGGCCUGUUAAGUCAGGGGUGAAAGUCGGGGGCUCAACCCUCGAAUGCCGGUGGAUACUGUUGGGCUAGAGUACGGAAGAGGCGAGUGGAAUUCCUGGUGUAGCGGUGAAAUGCGCAGAUAUCAGGAGGAACACCGGUGGCGAAGGCGGUUCUCUGGGCAUUACCUGACGCUGAGGAGCGAAAGUGUGGGGAGCGAACAGG
Molecule: ribosomal RNA, 253 nt
Filed under: uncultured bacterium
Lineage: Bacteria
Description: partial 16S ribosomal RNA
Rfam family: Bacterial small subunit ribosomal RNA
Source: RNAcentral